RNAcentral lists this ribosomal RNA (718 nucleotides) under uncultured bacterium. RNAcentral describes it as "bacterial SSU rRNA". It matches the Rfam family "Bacterial small subunit ribosomal RNA", at positions 777 to 1509 of the family's 1533-position model. The record is from RNAcentral.
AUUAGAUACCCUGGUAGUCCACGCAGUAAACGAUGAAUGCUGGCUGUCCGGCCCGGUACAGGGCUGGGUGGCGAAGCGAAAGCGAUAAGCAUUCCACCUGGGGAGUACGCCGGCAACGGUGAAACUCAAAGGAAUUGACGGGGGCCCGCACAAGCGGAGGAACAUGUGGUUUAAUUCGAUGAUACGCGAGGAACCUUACCCGGGCUCAAACGGGAGACGGAUGACGCAGAGACGCGUCAGACCCACGGGACGUCUUCCGAGGUGCUGCAUGGUUGUCGUCAGCUCGUGCCGUGAGGUGUCGGCUUAAGUGCCAUAACGAGCGCAACCCCCGCGGGCAGUUGCCAUCAGGUGAUGCUGGGGACUCUGCCCGGACUGCCGGCGCAAGCCGCGAGGAAGGCGGGGAUGACGUCAAAUCAGCACGGCCCUUACGUCCGGGGCGACACACGUGUUACAAUGGGGGGUACAGCGGGAAGCCAGGCGGUGACGCCGAGCGGAACCCGAAAGCCCCUCUCAGUUCGGAUCGGAGUCUGCAACCCGACUCCGUGAAGCUGGAUUCGCUAGUAAUCGCGCAUCAGCCAUGGCGCGGUGAAUACGUUCCCGGGCCUUGUACACACCGCCCGUCAAGCCAUGGGAGCCGGGAGCGCUUGAAGUACGGAGAACCCGUCCUAGAGCGAAAUCGGUGACUGGGGCUAAGUCGUAACAAGGUAACAAGGGCGAA